RNAcentral lists this ribosomal RNA (300 nucleotides) under uncultured Enterococcus sp. Its description in RNAcentral is "bacterial SSU rRNA". It matches the Rfam family "Bacterial small subunit ribosomal RNA", at positions 496 to 795 of the family's 1533-position model. Lineage: Bacteria; Bacillati; Bacillota; Bacilli; Lactobacillales; Enterococcaceae. The record is from RNAcentral.
GCUAGGUCCGGUGUAGCGGGCGCGAGAAGACGGGGGGGGAGAGGGUGAUUCGGAGUGACGGGGGUUAAAGCGCACGUAGGCGGCUUUGGAAGUGAGAGGUGAAAGCCCGGGGGUCAAAUCCGGAAGUGCAUGUAAUACGGCAUCGCUAGAAGUGUGGAGAGGUAAGUGGAAUUCCGAGUGUAGAGGUGAAAUUCGUAGAUAUUCGGAAGAACACCAGUGGCGAAGGCGACUUACUGGACACAUAUUGACGCUGAGGUGCGAAAGCGUGGGGAGCAAACAGGAUUAGAUACCCUAGUAGUC